CCUACGGGGAGCAGCAGUGGGGAAUAUUGCACAAUGGGGGAAACCCUGAUGCAGCGACGCCGCGUGAGCGAGGAAGUAUUUCGGUAGGUAAAGCUCUGUCAGCAGGGAAGAAGAAUGACGGUACCGGAAGAAGAAGCACCGGCUAAAUACGUGCCAGCAACCGCGGUAAUUCGGUUGGUGCAAGCGUUAGACGGAUUUACUGGGGGUAAAGCGCUCGUGGGCGGUAUGUCAAUGCAAGGGUGAAAGCCCCGCGCUCAACGUGGAGACUGCCUUUGAAACUGGCAAACUGGAGUGUGUGAGAGGAUAGUGGAAUUCCAGGUGUAGGAGUGAAAUCCGUAGAUAUCUGGAGGAACACCAGUGGCGAAGGCGACUAUCUGGCACAUAACUGACGCUGAGGAGCGAAAGCGUGGGUAGCAAACAGGAUUAGAUACCCCUGUAGUC
RNAcentral lists this ribosomal RNA (441 nucleotides) under uncultured bacterium. Its description in RNAcentral is "partial 16S ribosomal RNA". It matches the Rfam family "Bacterial small subunit ribosomal RNA", at positions 338 to 795 of the family's 1533-position model. The record is from RNAcentral.